GCCAUUUUAGCUAAAUGAUGAGAGCGACUCAUAAUCGCCAGGUCGCUGGUUCAAAUCCAGCAAGGGCCACCA
This 72-nucleotide transfer RNA is filed under the name Escherichia coli 4.0967. RNAcentral's name for it is "tRNA-Met". It matches the Rfam family "tRNA". From Rfam's summary of the family: Transfer RNA (tRNA) molecules are approximately 80 nucleotides in length. Their secondary structure includes four short double-helical elements and three loops (D, anti-codon, and T loops). Further hydrogen bonds mediate the characteristic L-shaped molecular structure. tRNAs have two regions of fundamental functional importance: the anti-codon, which is responsible for specific mRNA codon recognition, and the 3' end, to which the tRNAs corresponding amino acid is attached (by aminoacyl-tRNA synthetases). tRNAs cope with the degeneracy of the genetic code in two manners: having more than one tRNA (with a specific anti-codon) for a particular amino acid; and 'wobble' base-pairing, i.e. permitting non-standard base-pairing at the 3rd anti-codon position. The record is from RNAcentral. Lineage: Bacteria; Pseudomonadati; Pseudomonadota; Gammaproteobacteria; Enterobacterales; Enterobacteriaceae.